UGUCAUUCGUCAACUAUGCAAAUAAUGGGAGUGCCAGUCUAGCUCCUCUAAAAUGUGUUAGCUUAGACUGGCUCUCACCUUUGACAUUUUAGAUUAAUUCGGUAGGCCCCCCAGUAGUGUUUAUUUAUUUAUUUGUAACGGAAAUAGGAGGUUUAACCGGUAGAAAAAGAAGUGGGAAGGAUACAGCAUCAACCUAGUUUACAAAAAGAUCUCUAUUAGUGUCAUGGAAAGAACUGUUAGGAACUAUAUUUUAGAUAUCUGGCCAGAAGAAUGGAACAACUCCGACAGGUACGCUUUCGAGUUCAUUCCUAAUAUUAAGCGCCUCUUUCUUGGCCAUCGCUACUCUCCAAAUUUUUUCACUUCUCCAGUCUUUACUGGUGGUGGUAAAUCGCACCGUUUUGUCUUAAAGACACUGAAUCGCGCCACUGCCACUCUGCCAGGCUCGAACCUCUUCUCGUCUCAAUUUUCACCGCCACAAAUUUGACAACUACGGAGAGCGCUCGAAAAGAAUUGUUUUACCAGCUGGCUUUAAUUGGUCCUGUUAGCUGCAAUGUUUUUUCUAUAACAAACAACUGUGGAAAAAUUUCUCCAUCUUACUCAGAUAUACUUAAUAAUGACAAACAGUUCGUGGUCAGAAACUAAGUUCCUCUUUGCCCUUGCCCUUCCGCCUUUACAAUUUUUUUUUAUCGAGUUCUCUUCCAACAUUACCACAUAUUCCUGUUUCUAUAGUUUCGUAUUUGCCACCGUUCGCGCUUGCCAGUGAUCUUCAUAUUUGACAAUUAUCAUCAUCUAGUGUGUCUCUGUUCUUGUCAAAUCUUCGUUAACCUAAUGCUUUCGCCUAAUGUUUUGUAUCCCAUUCUUCCCAACAUUUAUAUUUAUACAGUUUUAAUUUAUUGUUCAAUAUUCUACAGUUUGUAAGAUUCUACCUUUUACCUACUGUCUAAACCUAAAACUUAUCUUUUCUGCUCCAGUUUUUUUAUAGAAGAUUUGUCUACAACAAUAAACAAUUUGAACGCGUAUUCACCGUGGACUGAAACUAUCGAAUCGAUCUUUUAUCAUUUCGAUAUCUUGGUUGUCUGGAUUGUUUUCCAUUUCAUCGCAUCCGCCUGUAAUCUUUUAUGUAUUAGUUAUAUGUUUAAUUUUGUUGGUUUUAUUACUACUCUUCUUCUAGUGGCCUGUCCACUUUCUUCGGCAGGAAUCUUUAACUCAAAAUAGUAUUAGUCCAGGGCCCCCAAAAUUAACGGUCUGCCCCUGGUAUCGAUAUAACAGCCGCGUCCAAGAAAUUUUUUGAAUACUGGUGUAGCGUUCUUUUUUUUUCUAUAAAUAUACCCUCAGUCUUCCGCCGUCGGAAUCGAUCCCAGUGGCUUUCGGACCCAUGAGCUGGAUCCAACCGGAAGCGGAUAGUAAAAAAUGAAAAGGGGAUCCGAUCCUAGUGUCACUUUAAAGUCCUCAAAGUGGACCGAUAAAAUAGAACGAAAUGGAAACGGUUCGAGUCUACCUGGCGGGAACCGCACCCGAUAAUUCUUGGGCCGUGAAUGUUCCUCCUACCAUACUGGCCUGGUGAGAAUUCUUACAGGUUCCUAGGGAAUGCCCGUUACACGCUACUUUAUUUGCGAUCCAGUCUUUUAUGGUCUCGGAUUAUGCCGAUUGUUUUAAAAUUAUUAACGAUAAUAUUUCCUAUCCGAUAAACGACUGGAAUACCAUUGGGUAGUGGCUUGGGUCAGCCCAUCGUCUAACAGUUAACUCUGAAAAUACCAUUUUUACGCACUGUUUGGCCGGUCGGACAUUUUUCUGUCAGAAAGUCGAAUCUCAAUCGAAAAUACUAUCUGUCUACUUCUCGACGGAAAGAAUCGGGAAUCGCAUCACUCGCUAAACUGACGUCCACGUAUCACCUUGGAUGGGUCCGAAGCCAGAUUCAUUUUGGAUUAAGAUUAAUAUUUCCAACUAAUUUCCUCUGGAAAAGUACCUUCUACCCGGUCUCGUUCUUUUAUGGUCGGUAGUCUCAGAUACGGGGUGACCGUCUAAGUAACAUCUCGACUCUUCGGAUCCGUUCUUCGACCAAUUUGGCGGUUAAAACUUCUCCAAUAGUUCCCUUUCCUACAUGGAAAAUGUCGACAUUGCAAAUUAAAUAAAAUAGUCAUUUCCCCACAGGUAAAAAACCUGUUUGAGAAAAUUACGCUACACGCUUAUCUAGUGGAAUAUUUAAACUUCCAUCCAGAGGGAGAAACCUUUACUCCUUACUAAUUAGGUGAUAAGCGAAACCGAAAAAAUUAUAAGGUGUUGGACACAGGUUAAUACUGUGGUUAAGUCUUUUUCGGCUCGACUAAGAGAUAUUUUUGUGUAAUCGAGUAAUAGAGCCAAAAUAACGAAAGCGCGGAGAUGAUUUUACCGUAGUUCUUAAAUUUUUAUCUUCUUUCGACCGGUGAGGAUAGUUUUACGGUGGUCGAUGGUUGGACAAAUAAUUGUUACGAUCGUAUUCGAGUAUUAAUUUCUUCUGUACCGUAUUCUUACGGUCGAAUUAAGGGCAGCUAGUUGCCAGUAUUGGUCUGGAAAGUCGACUCCUGGCCACGCCUCCACCUUCGGGUCAAAUACCGGAUUCCCCUCAUUUUAUCGGCAGCCGAAAUCCGCGCCAUCUUUAUUUACUUAUACCCUUUCGUUCUCCCCUGUCCUUAAAUAAAAGAAAGACCUGUUCCGUAUCAGUUCGCUUUGGAUUUUGCAUUUCGGCCUGUUGUUUGCACUCCAUUCGAAUCGAAGAGCUACCUUAUCGGAGUCGGGUCGAUCCUCCACUCCAAAAACACCAUCAUAAAAAACGAAACAUCUUAGUUACCGUCGAAAAUAUAAGAUAACUGAGCCCCAUCUUCCGUCGCUCUCCUCUUCCCGGAAUGUACAUCUCCAUCCUAAUAAUAAUAAAUCGCAAAAAAUGGGAUGGUUCACUUCUUCCUUUUGGGUUUGUUUGUGGUCGACUUCUUCCGACCGGUGUCGGGACCUAGAACCAGGCCAACUGCAGGCAGUGACAUUAAUCGGCCCUGUCGUACCGCCACCUUCUAGCGCGUUCUUCGGUCGGCCAUUCGACCGGUAGAUAAAGGACGGGGCCAACCCCACUACCCGGAAAAAUCCUUACCAACGGAAAUCGAUGAUCGUCCUCUGGUUGAAAAAUUAGCGCCUUUCCAUCCCACUAUCUCAUCGGAUGUGGUCUCUUCUUUUGAUUUAACACCCGCGAAGAUGGUUUAUUUCGCUUCUCCGGACAGAAGUUUAUGGACUACCACGUCGUCGUAACUAUGGCGGCAUGGGCCGGCUACCCAGGCUCGAGUUUUCAGUCCAAAUGGAUUCGACACCAGAAAAUUUCUACGCGGGAUCCGCCCCGUACUCCGUUCCCUUCCACUAUAGUCUCCGCCAGGGAUGGACUGCCGAUAUCGGUACCUAGAACGAUGGGCUAGCUUUGGUCGGCCGAUGGUCCAGAAAUUGGUUACAUUUUGAUCCAAUUUCUGGACCAUCGGUCGGACCUAAAACAUUGGUAAGUCGGCCGUUUGGCCGGAUGUGGGGUGGUUUUCGGCCGCCUACUAGCGUUUCUGUCCGAUUUUCUCUUAACGAAAUAAAUAAACCGUCCCUACCGCCCAGCCGCGUCUUUUUUCCCGCCAGAGGGCCAGCGCCGAAGUUGGGAGGAUUCCCAGCCGGGAAAGACCGUAAGGUGUGGGGCCACCGUCCAGUCCGUUUUAGUUGUCGGACUCGGUGUUAGUGGUAACUGAGGCUAGAGUGGGCCCGGCCCCUCCGGCUGGAGGGGGUAGUCGGUUCUGGACCCGAGUGCCCUUCCCACGGGCUGCAGCGCGGCGGUUUCAGCCGGAAGAUUUGAAAUUUUUCGGUCAUCUGGCUUCAUUCUACUUGCCGAACGCUUUAUCAAAAAGGGAUAAAGCGCGGCGUUCCAAUGUCCAUUAAAAUUUAAAUGAAUCCGGCGCCGGUCACAAAGCGGCGUUUUAGCAUGCCGCGCAGCCACCGCUAUAUUGUUACCGCCGAAAUGAAUCGAACGGCGUAAUGCCAGCGCCGUCUAAGCUAAUUUCUGCUGAAAAUGCAACAGGAGACUCCCGCGCCCCCCGCCGCUCCGCGUUGGAAUUCAAACUCUCCCGGCAUAAAAAACCGCCCGGCCAUUGUGUAGCGGCGAAUUUGCAUCUUUCCUUCCCCGCCUUUAAUUGGCCCGCCCCGGCCGCCCUUCCCUGGCCCCGGCUGACGGCCAACCUGAGGAAAAAGCGUCUGACCCCCGCCAGACCCUAGAUGUCGGACGGAAGGGAGGCCUACCACCUGUCGAACGCGUAUUCCCGUCGUUUAUCGGCAGCCAUUACUGGUGCCCUUAUUCCGAUGUCUCGGGCCAGGCCUAGACACGGGUCGUCCUUUAUCGGGAGUAACCCAUUUUUAUUUACCCACCAUGACUGGAAAUGGAAUCCAAAUCUUUUUACCGGUCCUUCCGAUUUCUGUCGGCCCAUCCUUACCGGCAAUACGUGCGACGGAUUCCCGAGGACUCCCUCCUCCUUCGGAAACUUGUGGUGGAAAAGUGGGGCCGCAGCUACCGGGAAGAGAGAAUAAUAUAUGUUUACCCAACGGUACUUGGAUUGUUCGUUAGACUCGUCGAUGGUUAGACUGGAUGGCCGCCUCUUUCCACCCGCCCUCGACAAUUCGGAAUCCGAUAUUCGAUCACCGCAGCACUCACUCACUCCGGCUGUGACUAAAAAGCGUCGUUCCGCGGCCCGUGGUCCGGGGGCGCGGCUGCCAUCCGGCCCGCUUUCACCUUCACUUUUCCUUAGAUUAAGGGCAGUGUCGACGGCGCGCCGACAUCCCAUUCGAUUCUCGCCUCCGAUACCGACACUUACCGCUGAUGGCUAGAAAAAACCAUAAUUACCUACCGUCCCCACCUUCGGUGUCCUAGGGCAAAAAAAUCGAGUAAGAUGCCAUCGGUUUUUUUGGUCACGUAGCAGCCGGCUGCCGACGUGACUGUCACCCAGCGCGUCUCGAGUGUCGCAUCUCGUGUCGAUAAUGAUUUAUUCAACACGUCACCCGGGGGCGGAAGGUCACAGCUGCGCCCGGCCACCGCAUUAGCACCCAGUCCACCCGCUUCCCUUCGGCGAAGGUCCAUUUCCGCGGUAGCCAGACUGGGCUGGUGGAACGCUGCUUCCGGAAAUUCCUUUUUCCGGUGGAAUCGCGGCUCUCCACGGCUUUUAUUUCCGUUCGUCUGUCCGUAGCGGUGGUCGGUCUAGGUCCAGGCCGGACCAAUUACCCAGCCUAAACGUUCCGAAGUUGGAAGUCUGUAGUCCUUUCUGCCGGGCCAGCCAUCUGAAGCCGAACCGUCAUCUAGCCGAGAAGGGGACGGGGCCGAGCCCGAGGCGACUUUGGGGCUGCUACGUCAUGGUAGGAAGGAGCCAAUGGCGGAGCGCUUAACCGUUCGGAAGAAUUAAACCGGCGUCCCCGGCCACGCGGCUGCCUAUCGAACAUCGGUGUGCGACAGUAAAACUCGCGUGGAGGGCGCUACUGCCGUCGGAAUCGGAGGAGUCACGUGUCAAGCGGGGCCGUGGUCGGCCUGUCAUUCUUCUCAUAACCGGAGUCUCUUUUCAGCGGUCGGCAGCCCGGCCCGACCGAUGCUCGCCUUGCGCCAUGUGGGGACAGACGGCGGAUGCCGUCUCCCGGAGUUCUCGCCCUUCUCCCACUUCCAGCCUUCGGAAUUGUCGACCGACUUGGCCUUCACCCACUCCUGGUGAGUACCCGUUUUUCAGUCCAAAGGAACGGUCGCUCCAACGCGCCUCUUCGGCCUGGGUCCCCGAAAAGGAUUACCAGCGGAGACGGUCCGACCGACGGCCAGGCGACGUGUGGGACGAGGAACACGGUUGGCUAGGUCGAUGUGGAGCGGCGGAAGGAGCGGGCGUGGGGCCGCCGCUUCCCUCGUCCUGAGGGAAAUUAUCCCGGUCCGAGGCGGAAUGAUUUAACCCGAAGAGGGAAUCCGGCCAACGGGAGGCCGUGCGCCAGGGAAGAAGCGGAAGUCGGCCCCCACCCGGCCUCUGCCCAUCUUUAAUGUAAGUUUUCCCGCCCUCCGGGAGUUCGGCCCAAUUUUUCGGGAACCGGGUCCGAUGAUCCUUCCCCGUCCGCCGCCCUCCCAGUCCUUUCCUCUUGGGUAGGUGGGAGCCGACAGGUUGGCUCCUUCCUAAUCCCCUGUCACAGACGAGACCGUGUUACUUAACUUCCCCUCGUUUCAUCGGGCAGCCCGUCGGGGACCGACCGCCGGUGACUACCCGUCCGAUGCCUGGCAGAGCCUUUAACCGGGAAUUCCCGAGCGGCGGAGGCGGACCGGGCGACCGGAUGCCGAAAGGGUGGAAAGGGAAGACGUGGCCGGGGGGAGGUGAGGCCACCGCUAAGAGGAAAGUUUGUGGUGGGGUGGCAAAGAAAGAAGAGAUACAACACUCGAUCCGAGGCGUUAUUACCGCUUUCCGGUCCCGUCCCCGGAGAGACGGCGGUAACGAAAUUGCGGAAAAGACUUGGGGAAGGUUGGAUCGGGGACCCUCGGGGAUCGGCCCGGAUCGACGCUGGCGACGACGAAACUAGAGACGGGGAGGAGGAAAGCGGUCUACCCCGGCUGGCAGUCGAUUUUUUCCGCGGGUCCCGCUUCCGGUUGGCGACCGCGGGGUGGGUCACUUCCCCAUAAUUUCAUAGGUGACCGUCUUCUUUCUACUUUCAGUGUCUUGGAAAUGAGAAAAGAGAAGUCGCGCGACGCGGCCCGAUCUCGGAGGGGCAA
This 6769-nucleotide long non-coding RNA is filed under the name Androctonus crassicauda. Lineage: Eukaryota; Metazoa; Arthropoda; Arachnida; Scorpiones; Buthidae. The record is from RNAcentral.